GACGAACGCUGGCGGCGUGCCUAAUACAUGCAAGUCGAGCGAGCUUGCCUAGAUGAUUUUAGUGCUUGCACUAAAUGAAACUAGAUACAAGCGAGCGGCGGACGGGUGAGUAACACGUGGGUAACCUGCCCAAGAGACUGGGAUAACACCUGGAAACAGAUGCUAAUACCGGAUAACAACACUAGACGCAUGUCUAGAGUUUGAAAGAUGGUUCUGCUAUCACUCUUGGAUGGACCUGCGGUGCAUUAGCUAGUUGGUAAGGUAACGGCUUACCAAGGCAAUGAUGCAUAGCCGAGUUGAGAGACUGAUCGGCCACAUUGGGACUGAGACACGGCCCAAACUCCUACGGGAGGCAGCAGUAGGGAAUCUUCCACAAUGGACGAAAGUCUGAUGGAGCAACGCCGCGUGAGUGAAGAAGGGUUUCGGCUCGUAAAGCUCUGUUGGUAGUGAAGAAAGAUAGAGGUAGUAACUGGCCUUUAUUUGACGGUAAUUACUUAGAAAGUCACGGCUAACUACGUGCCAGCAGCCGCGGUAAUACGUAGGUGGCAAGCGUUGUCCGGAUUUAUUGGGCGUAAAGCGAGUGCAGGCGGUUCAAUAAGUCUGAUGUGAAAGCCUUCGGCUCAACCGGAGAAUUGCAUCAGAAACUGUUGAACUUGAGUGCAGAAGAGGAGAGUGGAACUCCAUGUGUAGCGGUGGAAUGCGUAGAUAUAUGGAAGAACACCAGUGGCGAAGGCGGCUCUCUGGUCUGNCACUGACGCUGAGGCUCGAAAGCAUGGGUAGCGAACAGG
Molecule: ribosomal RNA, 788 nt
Filed under: uncultured bacterium
Lineage: Bacteria
Description: bacterial SSU rRNA
Rfam family: Bacterial small subunit ribosomal RNA
Source: RNAcentral